AGCUUUGCGCAGUGGCGAUAUCGUAACCAAUGAGGUUCUACCGAGGUGCGAUUAUUGCUAGUUGAAUUCAAAAACAUGAUAAGAUGAAGGGGGAGGGGGGGGGUUAUUAUCAGCGUUACGUAAUUUUCAGAGGGGGGUACGUC
Molecule: small nuclear RNA, 143 nt
Organism: Uranotaenia lowii
Lineage: Eukaryota; Metazoa; Arthropoda; Insecta; Diptera; Culicidae
Product: U4 spliceosomal RNA
Exons: 1
Source: RefSeq, a predicted model, not a curated record